Molecule: ribosomal RNA, 235 nt
Filed under: uncultured bacterium
Lineage: Bacteria
Description: partial 16S ribosomal RNA
Rfam family: Bacterial small subunit ribosomal RNA
Source: RNAcentral
CGGGACGGGUGAGUAAUGUCUGGGAAACGUGCCUGAUGAGGGGGGAUAACUACUGGAAACGGUAGCUAAUACCGCAUAACGUCGCAAGACCAAAGAGGGGGACCGUUCGGGCCUCUUGCCAUCGGAUGUGCCCAGAUGGGAUUAGCUAGUAGGUGGGGUAACGGCUCACCUAGGCGACGAUCCCUAGCUGGUCUGAGAGGAUGACCAGCCACACUGGAACUGAGACACGGUCCAG